This 190-nucleotide ribosomal RNA is filed under the name uncultured Glomus. Its description in RNAcentral is "partial 18S ribosomal RNA". It matches the Rfam family "Eukaryotic small subunit ribosomal RNA", at positions 597 to 786 of the family's 1831-position model. Lineage: Eukaryota; Fungi; Glomeromycota; Glomeromycetes; Glomerales; Glomeraceae. The record is from RNAcentral.
GCGUAUAUUAAAGUUGUUGCAGUUAAAAAGCUCGUAGUUGAAUUUUGGGCCUGGUCGGGCGGUCCGCCUUCUGGGUGAGUACUGUCAUCGUGCCGGGUCUCUUCUUCUGGUGAGCUAGUGUGCUCUUUAUUGGGUGCAUUAGGGAACCAGGACUAUUACCUUGAAAAAAUUAGAGUGUUUAAAGCAGGCA